RNAcentral lists this long non-coding RNA (2246 nucleotides) under Glycine max (soybean). Its description in RNAcentral is "long non-coding RNA (GMAX_LNC004515)". The record is from RNAcentral. Lineage: Eukaryota; Viridiplantae; Streptophyta; Magnoliopsida; Fabales; Fabaceae.
UUUCUUCUACAUCAUAUUCAAACUUGUCCAAAUAAAUAAUAAAGUCAUCUCGGCUCAAACAAGACCGUCUAAACUUCAUACAAUUAAUAUAGAACCUAUAUCCUAAUGUCACAUCCUAUCAGAGCGUUGUGUUCCCGUGUCCUCUAGCAUGAGGUUCUUCAUAGUCAUCCACCUAUUCAUCUGCUCCCCCGAACAUAAAGUUCAAGAUCAUCACAUGAUCCAAACACAAACAACAAACCGGGAGUGAGUUAUCACAUUCCUAACUUCUAGAGAGAGACAAGACAACAUAUAGUAGCCAAAUACAAUUUACUUAGCAUAUCUCACAUUAUUUCAUCACUUUGUCAUUCAAAAUUCACUUUUUAAUCAUCAAUCACAAUACACAAGAAUCACACACUCCGAUCAAGACAUAAUAACACAUUAAUUUCAUAAUAAACAAUUAGCAAGCGUAUGCAACAGUUAUGCUAAGACUCAAGCCUAUAUGCAAUGUGGUACCAUGUCAGUGAAAAACCUCGUCGGGCGCCUAGGAGUACAUGACAAGACAAACCACACACUAGCAAGUCAAGUCACUCUCACUAGGUAAUAUCAUAGGGACACCAGUCAGGGUCACAGUAUUUUGCGAGAAUGCUCUAACCAUAUGGGAUCAACAUAGACUUAAGGGAGCACUCAAACCGUGUGACCCCCAAGGCCUACACUCCGAAUAGUCCGUCAGGGCCUCUCCCUCCUGAUUCAGGUCCAACCCAGAAAACAUUUUAGCACACAGACUCUAUUUAUGAACUGCACAAAACACACGACUCCUCAAUUGUUCUCAAAAUAGUUUUAACUCGUCGCCCUAAGAGGGACUUAACAUUAACUUGUCGCCCUUAAAGGGACUUAACAUUAACUCGUCGCCCAAAAAAGGACUUAAAAUUAACUCGUCGCCCUUAAAGGGACUUAGCAUUAACUCGCCACCCUUAAAGGGACUUAUAGUCGUGUGAUUGUACAAUUCAUAGUUAAUACUCAAUGCACACAACAUCUCAAUCACAUACAUACACAAUUUAUCACAUACACUCGAUCUCAAUCACAAUGGUAUAAUCUCAAAAUAGUAUGUUAUCACAUCUCAUGAAUCAUAUUCACUUUACCUAUGAACUAUGCAAUAUACACAACUACUCAAUUGUUUUCAAAAUAAUUUUAACUCGUCGGGUUCCCACAAUGGAUCCCAUCACAAUACUCGCCGCCCUUAAAGGGUCUUACAAUUGUGUGAUUGCAUAGUUCAUAGUUCACAACUCAAUACACACAUCUCAUCUCAAUACGCAUGUAUUUCAUCAUCCGUCACAUGUUCAAUUUAUCACAUAAUCACAGUUUGAAUCAUCAUUUCAUAACCUCAACAUAACAAUUUAUGCAAAAGAUUUUAUCACAACAUGGGGUGUAAAAUCCUUGAAAUAGUUUCUCACAAUUAUAUCAAAAUCAAUUAAUCAAAUUCAUGGGUUAAACACAAAGACAUCAAGAGCACUCAAGUUUAUCAAUCAAUUCUCAUCAGGACAUCAAUUGGUACAUAAAACACAAUAAUAUUGUAUUUAUAAUCAUAAAGAGAAAAUUAUAAUUCAAUAAACAUCCUAAAAUAAACCCAAAUUUAGUUCUCUAAAGAUCUCUACACAUGUUCAUUCUAACCCCCAAUUGCGAUAAACUCAUCCCUUACCUCUGAGCGGACUCACGUGUCUUCCGACAGCGAUAGCGGCAUCUCUAGCGGUUCCAUGAGAUUCCUCCAGUUAUUCCUUCGACUGCUCCGAUAGAAUUCCCAAACAUCAGAGAGACGGAGAAGAGAUUGAACUGUCUUCAUGUGAUUCCUUUUUUUCCCUCCAAAAAUAUUAUCUCGCAAAUCCCAACGGUAGAAGUGUGCACAAUUAAAUUUCGAACAACGUAUCCAAAUUUCAUGAAAAUCCAACGGUUAACGAAACCGGAAUCAUAGUUUUACUAAGACUGUUUUGGGUUUCUACGAGAAAAGAGAAAGCUACUGUGUGAAGGGUAUUCCUCCUAGCUCUGACAUGUUUUUACAAUUUCCAUCGGUGAGAAUUCUCGGAAUUGGGUUGUGAAGGUGGUGCUCAAAUUUCAUGACGAUCCAACGGGGAAUGAGCCCGAGAUCGUCAUUUUUCUGAGACAAGUUUUGGGGGCUGCGAAAAAAAGAAAGAGUUUUGAAAGGAGAAGGAGAAAAAACGAAAGUGAGGGAAAAAAGAGACAACGUCAGUCUAAACCUGACCUAAUAUUGCUAU